RNAcentral lists this ribosomal RNA (945 nucleotides) under Triticum aestivum (bread wheat). RNAcentral's name for it is "partial small subunit ribosomal RNA". The record is from RNAcentral. Lineage: Eukaryota; Viridiplantae; Streptophyta; Magnoliopsida; Poales; Poaceae.
AUGCAACUCUAUAGAUAUCUGAUGAGCCGACAAGGACAGAAAGACUGCGGACAAGAACAGCUAUAUAAAAGCUCAAAGCGCGAAGGCUACAUUUCAGGAAAAUCCUUCAUGGAACAAGCAGGGAAAGGAGAUGCACAAAUGGAGGGCUCCAUGCUAAACGUGUUACUGGACGAAUGGACAGAACAGGAACAGUUCAACCCAGACGUCACAACUGUACUCCCUGCAGAAUUCGCAAAUAUGGUGCUAGGUCUCAAUUAUAAUAGAGGAGAGCUAUCAGAAUUCAACGAAGACGAUGCACUACAAGCAUUUGAACAACUUGUGCGAGGUAAAAACACCCUGCAUUCGAAGAUGAUCAUGAUACCUCAUCACACAGAGAACCACUACACACUAUAUGUAAUGAACAAGUACAGAGAUAGCAUCGACAUCCUUGACUCACUGAACUAUGUAAACUACGCUGAUUUGUCUUGGAGUAAACACCGUGUGCAUCGAGCAGAACUGAUGAGAAGGAUGUCGGUGCUGAUGAACAAGUACCGCCAACUAAAACACAAGAACGAACCAGACUGGGCAAGGAUAGCAGAAAGGCCUCACAGGGUCUGCACACCAAAGCAAGAAGGAACACAAUGCGGACACUUCACGGCCCAAUUUGCGAAACACUGGAAUGGGAAAGAACUGGUCAAGGACAGAGAGGAUUUUCAUCCCAGCAAGGUGGAUGCCGAAUGGAAACCAGAGUACGUAUACACACUCAUAUUCGGUAAAACCAACCAAAUAAAGCACCAUCAACUUCCUGGAAAAACCAAAGUUUUCAAACCAGAGACUAUAAACCUUUUUUCGCCCAUGAAAGAGCGAGACGAAAAAAACAGCAUCAAUCAAGGAGCACCAACAAAUACCCGCAACACCGGCAUUCGUUCAGACAUGUGCGUAAGGCAAACGAGCUCUAUGACAUAG